GAUGAAGAACGUAGCGAAAUGCGAUAAGUAAUGCGAAUUGCAGAAUUCAGCGAGUCAUCGAAUCUUUGAACGCACAUUGCGCCCCUUGGUAUCCCGAGGGGCAUGCCUGUUCGAGCGUCAUUUCACCACUCAAGCCUGGCUUGGUGUUGGGCGACGUCCCCUUUGGGGACGCGCCUCGAAACGCUCGGCGGCGUGGCACCGGCUUUAAGCGUAGCAGAAUCUUUCGCUUUGGAAGUCGGGGCCCCGUCUGCCGGAAGACCUACUCGCAAGGUUGACCUCGGAUCAGGCAGGGAUACCCGCUGAACUUAAGCAUAUCAAUAAGCGGAGGA
Molecule: unclassified non-coding RNA, 329 nt
Filed under: soil metagenome
Description: partial contains 5.8S ribosomal RNA, internal transcribed spacer 2, and large subunit ribosomal RNA
Rfam family: 5.8S ribosomal RNA (bases 1-120)
Source: RNAcentral